RNAcentral lists this ribosomal RNA (334 nucleotides) under uncultured eukaryote. RNAcentral's name for it is "partial 18S ribosomal RNA". It matches the Rfam family "Eukaryotic small subunit ribosomal RNA", at positions 1470 to 1796 of the family's 1831-position model. The record is from RNAcentral.
CCCUUAGAUGUCCGGGGCCGCACGCGCGCUACACUGAAGGAAUCAGCGUGGCUUUCUCCCUGACCCGAAAGGGUUGGGAAACCCGUUGAAUCUCCUUCGUGAUAGGGAUUGGGGCUUGAAAUUGUUCCCCAUGAACGAGGAAUUCCCAGUAAGCGCGAGUCAUAAGCUCGCGUUGAUUACGUCCCUGCCCUUUGUACACACCGCCCGUCGCUACUACCAAUGGAACGGUUUAGUGAGGGCCUCGGAUUGGUCUCGGCCCGCUCUUUACCGGGCGGCGCCGUUGGUCGAGAAGACGCUCGAACUUGAUCGUUUAGAGGAAGUAAAAGUCGUAACA